This 253-nucleotide ribosomal RNA is filed under the name uncultured bacterium. Its description in RNAcentral is "partial 16S ribosomal RNA". It matches the Rfam family "Bacterial small subunit ribosomal RNA", at positions 524 to 776 of the family's 1533-position model. The record is from RNAcentral.
UACGUAGGUGGCAAGCGUUGUCCGGAUUUAUUGGGUUUAAAGGGUGCGUAGGCGGUCUUUUAAGUCAGUGGUGAAAUACUUCAGCUCAACUGGAGAGGUGCCAUUGAUACUGGGAGACUUGAGUACUGAUGAGGUAGGCGGAAUGGACGGUGUAGCGGUGAAAUGCUUAGAUAUCGUCCAGAACACCGGUAGCGAAGGCAGCUUACUAAGGAGUAACUGACGCUGAGGCACGAAAGUGUGGGGAUCAAACAGG